This 272-nucleotide long non-coding RNA is filed under the name Malus domestica (apple). RNAcentral describes it as "long non-coding RNA (MDOM_LNC008487)". Lineage: Eukaryota; Viridiplantae; Streptophyta; Magnoliopsida; Rosales; Rosaceae. The record is from RNAcentral.
AAAUACAAAAACUUCAUUAAAGGAGCAAAACAAUUUGUCCUUUAGUGAUUUUGGGCCUUUACGUAAAAACGUAAACUUUUGGGUCAAAGUGCAAAUACACAAAAGUAUCAAAACUUUAUGUAAUUGCAUAAAAGCCCCAAAAGUACCCUACUUUUAGGGUGGCCGGUUUUGGUGAGAGUUUUGUCAGAAAACUUUUGAAAUUUUUCAACAAAGUGAAAGGUGAUGAGUUGGUUUGAAAAAGUAGGUUUCCAUAAAACAUGGUUCCUUGAAAC